UACGUAGGGCGCGAGCGUUGUCCGGAAUUAUUGGGCGUAAAGAGCUCGUAGGCGGCCUGUUGCGUCCGCUGUGAAAUCCCAGGGCUCAACCCUGGGCGUGCAGUGGAUACGGGCAGGCUGGAGGCAGGCAGGGGAGAACGGAAUUCCUGGUGUAGCGGUGAAAUGCGUAGAUAUCAGGAGGAACACCGGCGGUGUAGACGGCUUACUGGACCAUGACUGACGCUGAGGCACGAAAGCGUGGGGAGCAAACAGG
Molecule: ribosomal RNA, 253 nt
Filed under: uncultured bacterium
Lineage: Bacteria
Description: partial 16S ribosomal RNA
Rfam family: Bacterial small subunit ribosomal RNA
Source: RNAcentral